GGGACUCAUGAGCUGGGAGUCUGGCCACAUUUCCUACCCGAGAAGUAUCUCCAUCCUAGACGCUGAUCCUUGACAGCAUAUGCCCCUGUUAAAUUCUGUUUGGAUUUUCCUCUCUCAUCCCACCAUCUUGUGAAGUUCCCCAGAAUUCAAGAAGGGUUGAGCAAAGAGCUAAGGUUGCAUAAACACACCAAAUUCCAGGACGAGGUACAUUGGAACAGCCUCUGCAGCCUCAAUUCAGAACCAGAAUGCAGACUUGUUUCAUGAAAGCAGUAUCUGAACUGGAAUAGGUCCUCUGCUUUUGUCCGUGUAAAGCAGUCCAAUGUAUUUGUUGUGCCUUGCUAGCUUUUGCAGUAGCCUUUGCCCAGCUUCUCAGGGCUUCAGCGGCACCUUCUGGCAAAGCACAAGUAGAUCCAUUAAAAGGAGGAGAUUGCUAAUAAACAAAUGGGAGGGAGCAAAACUUUACAGCUGGGUUUGAACCUUCAUCUCACCCCCAAGCAAAAUGAUCAAUUGUCAGGGAUCAUGGGAAUUGUAGUUCAACAUCUGGAGGGCCAGAAGUCCCCCAUCUGUGCUUUAUAGCCGUAACAAAAGCCAACAUCCUUUUUGACCAUGUAACUUUGGUUUUAUUUAAGUUUGUGUAAAUCACUCUAGGAACCAAGGGUAGGAUAUAAAUUGAACAAGUGAACAAGCAUUUCUCAAAUUCAGUAGGUGAAGGCACACACUUUGAGGAAAAAACUGAGACUAAUUUCACUCCCACCAAAACAAGAUUUACUUUUCGGAAUUAGAACCUUCCUUAGAUGAUCCCACCACUUCUACUGGAGUCACCACUGAUUUGAACAUACCUCCUGGUUGUUAUGAGGCAAGCCCAGAGCAGGGACUCCAGAGCGUGGCUAAUUCAGCUGUAAAGGGACGCGGGUGGUGCUGUGGUCUAAAACACUGAGCCUUGCCGAUCGGAAGGUUGGUGGUUCGAAUCCCCGCGACGGGGUGUGCUCCCGCUGCUCUGUCCCAGCUUCUGCCAACCUAGCAGUUCGAAAGCACACUUGUGCAAGUAGAUAAAUAGGUACCACUCCGGCGGGAAGGUAAACACCAUUUCUGUGCACUCUGGCUUCCGUCACGGUGUCCCGUUGCACCAGAAGUGGUUUAGUCUUGCUGGCCACAUGACCCGGAAAGCUGUCUGUGGACAAACACCAGCUCCCUCAGCCUGAAAACGAGAUGAGCGCCGCAAUCCCAUAUUUGCCUUUGACUGGACUUAACCGUCCAGGGGUCCCUUUACCUUUUUUAAAUGCCGCUGUGCUGAGAAUGGUUGAUUCAACCACACCUGAUGCAGGUUAAUGGAAAAGAGGCAAGUACUGUGGUAAAUCAGAGACAAGCUGGCCACCUUCCCCUUUGCAUGGGUUCACAAGUGCCUUCAGUUGUUUAAUCCUGAGUAAUUGAGACAUGCUCAUGAAUCCAGGCAGUGUUUGGGAGUUAGUGGUGUGAACUUAGGUUAAAAAAAAUGGUAAAGGACCCCUGGAUGGUUAAGUCCAGUCAAAGGCGACCAUGGGGUGUGGUGCUCAUCUUGCUUCAGGCCGAGGGAGCCAGUGUUUGUCUGCAGACAGGUUUCUGGGUCAUGCGGCUGAACCACUUCUAGCAGAAAGGAACACUGUGACAGAAGCCAAAGUGCACGGAAACCUUCCCGCUGCCACAGUACCUGUUUAUCUACUCGCACUGGUAUGCUUUUGAACGGCUAGAUUGGCAGGAACUGGGGCAGGUCACACAAUUUGAACCGCUGAUCGAGACAGUCGAUUGGCAAACCCAAGAGGCUCAGUGGUUUAGACCACAGCGCCACCUGCUUCCUUCUGGUGUGAACUUAACCCAUGACUCAAUCAUUAAAAUGUUCUGAGAAUUGUGACAGACUGAUGAAAAGCACAGGACUCAUUGCUUGUUAGAACAAUAGCUUUUUUAUUUAUUUGACACCUACAAGAUUUUGGUAUCUUGCAGUUCUGUGGACAGGUUUAUACAAUCUCAAAUUUUCAAUAGUGCAACCUGUGCAAGCAAGAAGAAAAAUGACAAACAUUGUCCUUCACUUUCUUUAUAAACAUCUACUAUUAUAGGCAAAACAAAACUUACCCAUAUUUUUUAGAUAAGUGACUAUUCACAUUUUGUACAUUUACAAUUUUAAACAGCUCCAGGAUAAACUCUACAAUGUCUUACAACAUAAACAAAAGUAUUCAAGUUACGGGGCAACGGGGGGAAAAAAAUCAACCCAGCAUACACAUCGGACCCUCAUGUGCCGCUGCCCCCCUCCCCCCCAUGUCUCAUUUACAGCUCAAGUAUUGAGUAACAAAAAACGAAAACUUUUUUUAAAAGGGCUGUAAUGUGAAAUGGAAGUAAAUUUGCACUUGUGUUUCCUAAAAACCUCACUGGAUAAAAGAAAAAUUUGAGAAGGAAAGAAAAAAGAAAA
Long non-coding RNA from Podarcis raffonei (Aeolian wall lizard), 2440 nucleotides. RefSeq lists it as uncharacterized. The record is from RefSeq and is a predicted model, not a curated record. NCBI's taxonomy places the organism in Eukaryota, Metazoa, Chordata, Lepidosauria, Squamata, Lacertidae. The transcript is spliced from 2 exons.